GAUGAACGCUAGCGGCAGGCCUAAUACAUGCAAGUCGAACGGGAUCCAGAUCAAAGCUUGCUUUGGUCUGGUGAGAGUGGCGCACGGGUGCGUAACGCGUGAGCAACCUACCCUUGUCAGGGGGAUAGCCCGGCGAAAGUCGGAUUAAUACCGCAUGACAUCAUUGAGAGGCAUCUUUCGAUGAUCAAAGAUUUAUCGGACAAGGAUGGGCUCGCGUGACAUUAGCUAGUUGGUAAGGUAACGGCUUACCAAGGCUGCGAUGUCUAGGGGCUCUGAGAGGAGAAUCCCCCACACUGGUACUGAGACACGGACCAGACUCCUACGGGAGGCAGCAGUAAGGAAUAUUGAUCAAUGGACGGAAGUCUGAACCAGCCAUGCCGCGUGCAGGAGGACGGCCCUAUGGGUUGUAAACUGCUUUUAUACGGGAACAAACGUCGGUACGUGUACCGGUCUGAGUGUACCGUAAGAAUAAGGAUCGGCUAACUCCGUG
RNAcentral lists this ribosomal RNA (490 nucleotides) under uncultured bacterium. RNAcentral's name for it is "partial 16S ribosomal RNA". It matches the Rfam family "Bacterial small subunit ribosomal RNA", at positions 28 to 507 of the family's 1533-position model. The record is from RNAcentral.